Molecule: unclassified non-coding RNA, 240 nt
Filed under: soil metagenome
Description: partial contains 5.8S ribosomal RNA, internal transcribed spacer 2, and large subunit ribosomal RNA
Source: RNAcentral
AACCUUAUGGACCUGCGGGCGUAUACCUGCGGAAGGAUCAUUACCGAGUUAGGGUACUCUUCGUGCUCGACCUCCAACCCUUUGUCUACCUGACCAGAUGUUGCUUCGGCAGGCCCGCCGCCCCUCUACGGGGGUGGCCGCCGGGGGUCCUUACCGGCCCCGGGUCCGCGCCUGUCGACGGCCCCUCUUAAACUCUUGCUUAAAACGUGUCGUCUGAGUAAAACAAACAAAUAAAAACAA